GGGACUGUUUGAAAAGGUGGAGGAGGGGACUGUUUGAAAAGGUGGAGGAGGGGACUGUUUGAAAAGGUGGAGGAGGGGACUGUUUGAAAAGGUGGAGGAGGGGACUGUUUGAAAAGAUGGAGGAGGACUGUUAGAAAAGGUGGAGGAGGACUGUUUGAAAAGGUGGAGGAGGGGACUGUUUGAAAAGGUGGAGGAGGGGACUGUUUGAAAAGGUGGAGGAGGACUGUUAGAAAAGGUGGAGGAGGACUGUUAGAAAAGGUGGAGGAGGACUGUUAGAAAAGGUGGAGGAGGGGACUGUUUGAAAAGGUGGAGGAGGACUGUUAGAAAAGGUGGAGGAGAGGACUGUUAGAAAAGGUGGAGGAGGACUGUUUGAAAAGGUGGAGGAGGGGACUGUUUGAAAAGGUGGAGGAGGAGACUGUUUGAAAAGGUGGAGGAGAGGACUGUUUGAAAAGGUGGAGGAGGACUGUUUGAAAAGGUGGAGGAGGGGACUGUUUGAAAAGGUGGAGGAGGACUGUUUGAAAAGGUGGAGGAGGGGGG
This is a long non-coding RNA of Labrus mixtus (cuckoo wrasse), 537 nucleotides long. RefSeq lists it as uncharacterized. The transcript is spliced from 3 exons. The record is from RefSeq and is a predicted model, not a curated record. Lineage: Eukaryota; Metazoa; Chordata; Actinopteri; Labriformes; Labridae.